ACCUGUCCGUCAUCGUUUCCAUUAUAAAUGCUCAGAUUCUGACCAUCAGAACCGACGGACUGCCAGCUCAAGCCAGCAGGCUGCCAUGUUGCCGUAAACUGAUCCAGCGUACGGCGUCGUAAAAUCCCCGAGAGACCCUCUUCAUUCAUCCCGAACACUGACCUUGUAGUGAGGUCUGCAGGAAGGAGCAGGUGUGUUUUCUGAUUCUGUUGCAGCUGCCAGUGAUCACACUGUCUGCAGCUGGUACAGCUUGGCUCCUUUCUUCAGCAGGAAACCCUGUUCAUUCAGGGAACUCACCAGACCUUCAAAAUCCAUCACCUGGAGGGAAUCAACCAAUGACUGAAUAAACUAUCCAGCAUGCAUGCAAUGAUAGUUUUUAGAGUAGCAUCAGGUUUUACUGCAUGUAUGUAUAGACUCGUGGUUUGGAUUACUGGGAACGUUUGUGCUGAAAGGAGACAUUUAAACCUACAGAAAUCUUUCUAUUAUGCAUCUCUUAAUGUAAUUCUAUGUUUUUCUCAUUUCCUGAGGGGUUGGUUUAGUGACUCCUACUGCAUUAAGAUUAUGAGAAGCAGACACCCACAUACUUUUCCUCAGGUGGAUAAAGUCCUAACUUUUCAUUUCAUCCAUAGCAAGUUGAAAACUAAAUUAUUUGAUAAGCCCUACAGCUGAACUAGGGCCCUUCUUGAGGUCUGCUUUAUUUGCCUAGAUGACAGUCCCUGUCACAGAUUGCUUAAGUAUCUAAUUUCUCAGAGACGGUGAGUGAAAAUGACAUGGAGGUGUUUGUGCCUUUCAAUUAUGUAAUUAUGUAAAUCUGG
Micropterus salmoides (largemouth bass) is the source of this 815-nucleotide long non-coding RNA. RefSeq lists it as uncharacterized. The record is from RefSeq and is a predicted model, not a curated record. The transcript is spliced from 2 exons. NCBI's taxonomy places the organism in Eukaryota, Metazoa, Chordata, Actinopteri, Centrarchiformes, Centrarchidae.